GAUCUUUUAGUAUAGUUAGUAUAUUUGACUUCCAAUCAAAAGGCUUUUAAAGAUUA
RNAcentral lists this transfer RNA (56 nucleotides) under Rhabditophanes sp. KR3021. Its description in RNAcentral is "tRNA-Gly". Lineage: Eukaryota; Metazoa; Nematoda; Chromadorea; Rhabditida; Alloionematidae. The record is from RNAcentral.